AGAAGCCAGUUCUUCCCAACAAAGGAACUUAGGAUUUACAAGUCAGUAAAACAUGUGCAACAUUUCCAGAAAUGUACCAGAGUUGUUCGUGAUCAUAACCCCAAAUCAUUGGUACCUCGAUGUUUAGAGGGGAAACAGCAUUGGCUGGGCAAGCUGGGGCAGGGAACGUGAUGAACAGUGGGCUGGAAUAAGUUAACUGGAGGAGGGGAGGCGUCUCAGGAAGGGAGAAUAGCAUGAACAGCAGCAUAGACGUGAGAAUAACCAUCUGGAGUGAUGAACCUAUGCUGAGUAGAAAGUUCCAGAAGGCUGCAUAAGGGAGGUGUGUGAACAGCAGAAGCAGGACAAACCUGAGAUGAAUGUGAGGUUCUGCCCUGUUGUAACAAUGCUGUCUUCUCACAAACUACUCAUGUGCCCUAUAAGAAGAUAACCCACAAUCCCUGAUUCUGCUUUAUUCAAUGACUAGCUACUGCACAGACCGUGUAAAUGGACAGGACAGCCAGAGAGGGAGAAGAUGGCUAAACUGAAGCAACUUGGAGCUAGAAGAUA
This 546-nucleotide long non-coding RNA is filed under the name Homo sapiens (human). RNAcentral describes it as "novel transcript, antisense to CCBE1". Lineage: Eukaryota; Metazoa; Chordata; Mammalia; Primates; Hominidae. The record is from RNAcentral.